RNAcentral lists this ribosomal RNA (469 nucleotides) under uncultured bacterium. RNAcentral describes it as "partial 16S ribosomal RNA". It matches the Rfam family "Bacterial small subunit ribosomal RNA", at positions 28 to 507 of the family's 1533-position model. The record is from RNAcentral.
GAUGAACGCUGGCGGCGUGCUUAACACAUGCAAGUCGAACGGUGAACACGGAGCUUGCUCUGUGGCAUCAGUGGCGAACGGGUGAGUAACACGUGAGCAACCUGCCCCUGACUCUGGGAUAAGCUCUGGAAACGGCGUCUAAUACUGGAUAUGUGACGUGACCGCAUGGUCUGCGUUUGGAAAGAUCUUUCGGUUGGGGAUGGGCUCGCGGCCUAUCAGCUUGUUGGUGGGGUAAUGGCUCACCAAGGCGUCGACGGGUAGCCGGCCUGAGAGGGUGACCGGCCACACUGGGACUGAGACACGGCCCAGACUCCUACGGGAGGCAGCAGUGGGGAAUAUUGCACAAUGGGCGGAAGCCUGAUGCAGCAACGCCGCGUGAGGGAUGACGGCCUUCGGGUUGUAAACCGCUUUUAGCAGGGAAGAAGCGAAAGUGACGGUACCUGCAGAAAAAGCGCCGGCUAACUACGUG